RNAcentral lists this long non-coding RNA (926 nucleotides) under Triticum aestivum (bread wheat). Its description in RNAcentral is "long non-coding RNA (TAES_LNC028151)". The record is from RNAcentral. Lineage: Eukaryota; Viridiplantae; Streptophyta; Magnoliopsida; Poales; Poaceae.
GCAGUAAACUUGCAUUAAAAAAGGAGUAAACACAAGUGACACAAUAAAAUGUACUUAAUACAUGAACUUGUGAACAUUGUCUACAGGAGAAGUUAAUAGAAAUAGUGGUCAAUUACAUCAUAUAAUUUGGUUCUAUACUCUUUUGUGUAUAUAUCCUGAAUGAUACCCCUUUGUGAUCAACUCUUUGUCCUCUGAAUCGAAUGGCACAGCUACUGCCCCUUGUGGAAAAAGAAAGGGUUCUGUAAUACCCAUAAAUGUAAAAGGAAAACAUCAUGUGAUGCAUCUCAACCUGCGCAAAACAAUGUAAAAACCAUACAUGCUAUCUACAUACCCUCAUUGUCUAGCAAAGCAUAAGUAGCUGAGGGACCCUAUACAAAAGAAUUGACAAUUAGUAAGAAAGAAGCAUGCCACUUUACAUGGAACAAAAAAAAUGAUUAUUAUGGUGAGCGCAGAAUAACAUGAAGUUGUCAUGUGUAGCCAACAACUGCAGCUAUCUGUAUAGGCUACUGCUACUUUACAAUCUAUAUUGACAGGAAUAUUUGUGAAGUCAUUCAAAUCUAUCUUAAGUGAAAACAUACUUAUAAGGCAUACUUAAUUCUCUCCGUUGUUCAUUUUCCUUUUGAUGUCACUUUAUUCAUAUGGCAAGUAUGAGUUUAAUCAUCAGUAGACAGAAACUUUGUGUGAAUCAAAAUACCAAGUUUAGUAUGGAAACUAUAGUUUCUCCAUAUGUCAUUAUUUCAAGACAAAGCAUGUCAUUCACACCCACUUAGAAUCAUAAUUUCCAGUAAACUUUCCAUACAGCAAUAUCAAUAAAAAGGCUUUUGUUCUUUACCUUUAAUAGAAGAGGCAACUGGCUGAGGCUGCCCUAGCAAGAGGUCAAACUGUCGAUUGCAGAGCUGAAGCGCUAUUGAAAGUAAUUACAUCAC